RNAcentral lists this ribosomal RNA (743 nucleotides) under uncultured bacterium. RNAcentral describes it as "bacterial SSU rRNA". It matches the Rfam family "Bacterial small subunit ribosomal RNA", at positions 94 to 823 of the family's 1533-position model. The record is from RNAcentral.
AGCGGCGGAUGGGUGAGUAACACGUGGGGAACCUGCCCCUAAGUCUGGGAUACCAUUUGGAAACAGGUGCUAAUACCGGAUAAUAAAGCAGAUCGCAUGAUCAGCUUUUGAAAGGCGGCGUAAGCUGUCGCUAAGGGAUGGCCCCGCGGUGCAUUAGCUAGUUGGUAAGGUAACGGCUUACCAAGGCGACGAUGCAUAGCCGAGUUGAGAGACUGAUCGGCCACAUUGGGAUUGAGACACGGCCCAAACUCCUACGGGAGGCAGCAGUAGGGAAUCUUCCACAAUGGACGCAAGUCUGAUGGAGCAACGCCGCGUGAGUGAAGAAGGUUUUCGGAUCGUAAAGCUCUGUUGUUGGUGAAGAAGGAUAGAGGUAGUAACUGGCCUUUAUUUGACGGUAAUCAACCAGAAAGUCACGGCUAACUACGUGCCAGCAGCCGCGGUAAUACGUAGGUGGCAAGCGUUGUCCGGAUUUAUUGGGCGUAAAGCGAGCGCAGGCGGAAAAAUAAGUCUAAUGUGAAAGCCCUCGGCUUAACCGAGGAACUGCAUCGGAAACUGUUUUUCUUGAGUGCAGAAGAGGAGAGUGGAACUCCAUGUGUAGCGGUGGAAUGCGUAGGUAUAUGGAAGAACACCAGUGGCGAAGGCGGCUCUCUGGUCUGCAACUGACGCUGAGGCUCGAAAGCAUGGGUAGCGAACAGGAUUAGAUACCCUGGUAGUCCAUGCCGUAAACGAUGAGUGCUAAGUGU